UAACGCGAAGAACCUUACCAGGUCUUGACAUCCCUUGCUAAUCCUAGAAAUAGGACGUUCCCUUCGGGGACAAGGUGACAGGUGGUGCAUGGUUGUCGUCAGCUCGUGUCGUGAGAUGUUGGGUUAAGUCCCGCAACGAGCGCAACCCUUAUUAUUAGUUGCCAGCAUUUAGUUGGGCACUCUAGUGAGACUGCCGGUGACAAACCGGAGGAAGGUGGGGAUGACGUCAAAUCAUCAUGCCCCUUAUGACCUGGGCUACACACGUGCUACAAUGGCAUAUACAACGAGUCGCCAACCCGCGAGGGUGCGCUAAUCUCUUAAAGUAUGUCUCAGUUCGGAUUGUAGGCUGCAACUCGCCUACAUGAAGUCGGAAUCGCUAGUAAUCGCGGAUCAGCACGCCGCGGUGAAUACGUUCCCGGGUCUUGUACACACCGA
This 435-nucleotide ribosomal RNA is filed under the name uncultured Weissella sp. RNAcentral's name for it is "bacterial SSU rRNA". It matches the Rfam family "Bacterial small subunit ribosomal RNA", at positions 957 to 1393 of the family's 1533-position model. The record is from RNAcentral. Lineage: Bacteria; Bacillati; Bacillota; Bacilli; Lactobacillales; Lactobacillaceae.